Molecule: ribosomal RNA, 207 nt
Filed under: uncultured delta proteobacterium
Lineage: Bacteria; Deltaproteobacteria
Description: partial 16S ribosomal RNA
Rfam family: Bacterial small subunit ribosomal RNA
Source: RNAcentral
CGUGUAGGCUGCCCCGCAAGUCGGAUGUGAAAGCCCUGGGCUCAACCUAGGAAGAGCAUUCGAAACUGCGGGGCUGGAGUCCUGGAGAGGAAAGCGGAAUUCUCGGUGUAGAGGUGAAAUUCGUAGAUAUCGAGAGGAACACCGGUGGCGAAGGCGGCUUUCUGGACAGUGACUGACGCUGAGACGCGAAAGCGUGGGGAGCAAACA